This 257-nucleotide ribosomal RNA is filed under the name uncultured bacterium. RNAcentral's name for it is "partial 16S ribosomal RNA". It matches the Rfam family "Bacterial small subunit ribosomal RNA", at positions 524 to 776 of the family's 1533-position model. The record is from RNAcentral.
UACGUAGGUGGCAAGCGUUGUCCGGAAUUAUUGGGCGUAAAGCGCGCGCAGGCGGUCUCUUAAGUCUGAUGUGAAAAGCCCCACGGCUCAACCGUGGAGGGUCAUUGGAAAACUGGGGGGACUUGAGUACAGAAGAGGAAAGCGGAAUUCCACGUGUAGCGGUGAAAUGCGUAGAGAUGUGGAGGAACACCAGUGGCGAAGGCGGCCUUCUGGACAGUGACUGACGCUGAGACGCGAAAGCGUGGGGAGCAAACAGG